This is a long non-coding RNA of Pyrus x bretschneideri (Chinese white pear), 1600 nucleotides long. RefSeq lists it as uncharacterized. The transcript has 4 exons. The record is from RefSeq and is a predicted model, not a curated record. NCBI's taxonomy places the organism in Eukaryota, Viridiplantae, Streptophyta, Magnoliopsida, Rosales, Rosaceae.
CCCGGAGGAAUUCUUUGAUAUUGCACGUAUUGGAACUCUUUGACUCAUCUCAAGAACCACACCCGUUCUUCCCGGAGGAAAAGAAUCAGUUUUCUUCCCGGAGAUUAUAUUUUGGAUGCAAAAUUUGAUGUUUUUGUGAUAUUGCUACCCAAAACAAGAAGUGAUAUUAGCAAUUCUUUCUCCUCCACCUACUCCCUGUCGCCUUCAGUGCCAUCCGGAGAUUCGUGAAAAGGAUUGGGACUACAAAGUCGAAUCUCUUCCACUCUAUACAAGAGCAGGAGAUGGAAAUCAAAGCGUUGGAAGAAAAUACUUGCGGAUGACUUCAAAGAAAUACAUUCGGGCGAGAGCGGGUUAAAUACUUCCAAGAGGUGUUUUCAAAUAAAAGUUAUCUCCAGUGGUAGGUGUCUCCUUCUCUUGCUGUUUGCAUUCUACUGGCAUAAUUGUUACAAUAGCAUAAUGUCAGGUCGAGAAAGAGUCUUACUCGGUACAACAUUUCAACUCUCAAUCUUAAUCUUUUAUACUCAAUUCUCAACCUCAUUCGUUUUGGUCAUGUCAAGCUUAAAUAGGGAUUACAAACAUGGACUAUUAAUCAGUAGUGGGUAUAUAUGCGUUUCGUUUAGUGGUUUGCAUUACUAAUAUCAAUUUCCUGUCUACAUUCUGCUCAUUUCUUUUUGGUUAAAUAGGCUUUGGUGCAUUGAAUUAGUGGAGCAUUUAAACAGAGAUACAAACAGAAUUACUGCAUUACUAAGGUACUUCCUUCAUUUCAUUAUUAAUUUGUUAGAUGGUAGACAAUCGCACAACAUGUUUAAUAUUUACUUUGAAUGCCGUUAAAGGCAUCACCUUUUUAUGCCUACUUUAGAACAAAACUCUAAUUAAUCUUCACAUGAGAUAAGACUUUACAUUUUUCAUACUUGAGUGAUUUCAACACCAUUGUGAUCAAUAUUAAGCAUGUACGUGCUUUUGCUUUCCAAACGGUUGGAGAAGAGUGUUUUAGAUUAUGUCAUGGAAACUUCAGGUGGAGUUAUUUUAUUUUUUUAUUUUUUAUUUUUCUAUUUUCACGGUAAGUAGAAUUUAAAAGGAAGGUCAUGCCCAAAGACUUACGUACGAAGGCAAAACACCAAAAACGCAGACGGGAAACCAUAGAAAUGGUACAACAAAAAUAAUAGCAAAAGGUGACUGCAUGAAGGGUAAGUGACUUGAAGUAAAACUUCAGUCUUGACCCCAUUUCUAAAAACCAAGCCCCAUAGAAAGAUAGGAUAGGGUUAACAGUGCAAAAGCAAGUAUCGUCGACUUCGGAUUUGAAAUCAACAGACGAAUAUGGUAUACACAAGGUUGAUGUGGAGUGAAUGUAGAGUGUGUAGAGUAACUCAUGGACAUUUUUGUUAGAAUACAAAAAAAAUAAAAAAACAUUUAUUAAUAGAAAAAGAAAAAGAAACAGAUAACUCCUCCUUCAUUUUAGGAGAGAGGACAACCAACGUGGGGAGCAAAAAUUAUCAGGAUUAGCACGUUUAGUUUUCAAACUACAUAGCAGUUUCCAUACAGUCUCACACAACCUUUUUUCAUAACUUCUCCGUUGCAUUUGUUCAGUUACAAAAUUACG